Molecule: long non-coding RNA, 1240 nt
Filed under: Anas platyrhynchos platyrhynchos (common mallard)
Lineage: Eukaryota; Metazoa; Chordata; Aves; Anseriformes; Anatidae
Description: lncRNA (ENSAPLG00000030185.1)
Source: RNAcentral
GUACAAAGCUGAAAUGCAAACCCAAAACUGCAGAGGCAACAUUUGAAAUUAAGAUCUAAAGGUGACUCAUUCUGUCACCUUCUGCAGACUGCAGAACAGCCUUUCCUUAAGGAUAAAUAAAAUCUCUGUAUCUGUACACUCAGCUGUUAAUACUGUAAAUGAAGUACAAUGUUUUUCAGAUUAUUGAAUCAUUACUGUCAGUAGAACAAGCAGCUCAAGCAGGCUGCCAAGCAGGAAGAUGAAAGAAAUCAUUAAUUUCACGUUACUGGUUCAUGCACAGAUUCCUAAGUGGGGGUGAUUAACUACUGGAUCAAGCCACCGAGGAGAGCGGGGGCUUCUCACUUUCUUAUUGUCUCCAGAUGAAGCUUGGCUGCCUUUCUGCAAGAGCUGCUUCUGCCAGACAGAGUUGUUGGACUCAGUGUUAGUCAACUGGAUGAACCGUAGCAGGAGCCCACGACGUGCAAGAGGCCAGUGGAGACAACCUAAUCGUCUCAUCCACCCAGAAGAUUGCAUCCAGUCCAUCAGCUCAAUGCGAGAGUCUCACCACGUUCCGGGCUGUACACGCUAGAGGGAGCCACGGAAAAACCAAUGCCCGGGCUGCUGCGAGCGCUGCCCUGCUCCCCAGCCGUUCCCACGCUCUUCCCUUGGAAAAUUGGGGGUCUUUCAGCAGUUUUUCACCCCAGUGUUGCUCUUUGGGGCUGCUGCAGGAGCACUUUUGUUGGAAGCAAAGCGUGCCAUUUGACUGUGCUGAUGUUUGUCAAAGUUUUAGCUGGGAAAAAGCCUUUUGUUUCCUCAGCAUCAAAGUGUUGUAUUUUGAGCGUGCCCAAGCUCCCCGCUCCUUUUUGUGGUUAGCUGUGCUCCUGCUCCACACCAGCGUGCUGUAUGCACACGGGAAAUGCUUUGAUACACCAUACCACCCUCUGCAAGACAAUCUGAAGGCACCCGGAACCCUAUUAAAAUGUUUGAGCCUGAUGUUAAGAUGCUGGGACUGAUAGUUUCAUCCUUCCAACCACCUCCCAGGCCCUGAGUUUCCUUAGCUGGAUGGUGCUCAUAUGUAAAGGCCAUGGUAUGAUGGCAGAUAUGCAGUCUCCUUUCCCUACUCACAGGGCAAAUGCGAGGAAAUGGUGAUAAAAUCUCAAUGCGCUGAUGGAGCCUUGGGGAGGUUAAACCCUCAGUGCUCUGUGCCAUGUCAUAUGGCUGCUCCUAGGGCCCUAUUUCUGUAAUGACUGCUUUCACCAAU